CUCCAAUGACUUCACACAAAAUUUUCUCUUAGUAGAACACUUAGAACACAAGAAGUUGAGAAAUCAAAAAGCAAGAAAACUAUGUAAGCUAGAUAUGCAGCAAACUAGUCGGUAUAGCACAAAAUUAAACAAUACUAAACAUGCAAAACGUUUCUACCAAAACAAAAGAAAUACAAGUUCAAACAAGCAACAAAUUACUAAGCAAAAUAACUAUGCUAUUCGGCCCUAGGUGAGGCUUCUUGGACACUUUGAGCCCUUGAAGACACACUCACCGUCUAAAACGUAAUUUAAAAGAGGUAAUUAACAAUAAUCCAAGUUGUAAAGGAGAUAAGAAAACCCCCUUUGUUGUUCCUCUUUUUGGUUAGUGCACUUUCUUUGUUGUCUUGAUUGUUGAUCUUCUAGGUGUUUGUAGUGUUUGUUUUCGGCCUUAGCUUUGACUCCUCCUUAGAAAGUUGGCUUUAAUUCUCCAAUUUCCAGCACCUAUUCACAAAGGCUUAACCUUAAACCAAGUCAAUUUCCGUGCACAUAAGCACCAAGGGAGA
Molecule: long non-coding RNA, 542 nt
Filed under: Phaseolus vulgaris (common bean)
Lineage: Eukaryota; Viridiplantae; Streptophyta; Magnoliopsida; Fabales; Fabaceae
Description: long non-coding RNA (PVUL_LNC001587)
Source: RNAcentral